RNAcentral lists this transfer RNA (76 nucleotides) under Betaproteobacteria bacterium RIFCSPLOWO2_02_64_14. Its description in RNAcentral is "tRNA-Lys". It matches the Rfam family "tRNA". Rfam says of the family: Transfer RNA (tRNA) molecules are approximately 80 nucleotides in length. Their secondary structure includes four short double-helical elements and three loops (D, anti-codon, and T loops). Further hydrogen bonds mediate the characteristic L-shaped molecular structure. tRNAs have two regions of fundamental functional importance: the anti-codon, which is responsible for specific mRNA codon recognition, and the 3' end, to which the tRNAs corresponding amino acid is attached (by aminoacyl-tRNA synthetases). tRNAs cope with the degeneracy of the genetic code in two manners: having more than one tRNA (with a specific anti-codon) for a particular amino acid; and 'wobble' base-pairing, i.e. permitting non-standard base-pairing at the 3rd anti-codon position. The record is from RNAcentral. RNAcentral also lists the same sequence under 1 other name. Lineage: Bacteria; Pseudomonadati; Pseudomonadota; Betaproteobacteria.
GGGACGUUAGCUCAGUUGGUAGAGCAGCUGACUCUUAAUCAGUAGGUCGUAGGUUCGAUCCCUACACGUCCCACCA